UGUGUUUUGGAUGUGAAUUUGAGUCUUACUGCUUUGUGGUCUUCUGGCCAAUCAUGAAGCCCCUUUGAUUAAAAACAAAGGAGUCAAGAAGAGGCUAAGGUUUUCUUGACAUCAACAAGCUCUUCAAAGCAACAUUUCAAAAAGUGCUAAUGACUCAGACCAGAUGGAGUCUAUUUCCAUGAAAAAGCUGAGUGUCUAAAGAAGCAGGAAGUAAAGCUCAUGCAGACCACUGUCUUUUGGUUUUCCGAACUCCAGCCUCACUCCAAACACCACCAAGCUGCAUCCUGCCUUCUCUCUUCUGUCUGCUUGAACUGCCAUUGCCCUUCAGCUUUUCAAAGAAACCGGACUUAGCCCAUAUGGAAAAUAACCUCAGACUUCAAACCUGGACUGGGAUUCUUAGACUUCUUUGGUUACCAAAAUGCUUUCAGUUCAAAGUAAUCUCUUAUUUAACUUUGAUUUUUUUUAGUUGUGGAAAAUAUGCAUAACAUAAAACUUACCACUUUAACCAUUUUUAAGUGCACAGUUCAGUGGUAUUAAAUACAUUCACAUUGUUGUUCAACCAUCACCACCAUCCAUCUUUAGAGCUAUUUUGUCUUCUCCAACUACAAGUCUGUACCCAUUAAACAGUAACUCACCAUUCCCCCUCC
RNAcentral lists this long non-coding RNA (647 nucleotides) under Homo sapiens (human). RNAcentral describes it as "HSALNT0093740". The record is from RNAcentral. Lineage: Eukaryota; Metazoa; Chordata; Mammalia; Primates; Hominidae.